RNAcentral lists this ribosomal RNA (467 nucleotides) under uncultured bacterium. Its description in RNAcentral is "partial 16S ribosomal RNA". It matches the Rfam family "Bacterial small subunit ribosomal RNA", at positions 29 to 507 of the family's 1533-position model. The record is from RNAcentral.
ACGAACGCUGGCGGCGUGCUUAACACAUGCAAGUCGAACGGAAAGGCCCUGCUUUUGUGGGGUGCUCGAGUGGCGAACGGGUGAGUAACACGUGAGUAACCUGCCCUUGACUUUGGGAUAACUUCAGGAAACUGGGGCUAAUACCGGAUAGGAGCUCCUGCUGCAUGGUGGGGGUUGGAAAGUUUCGGCGGUUGGGGAUGGACUCGCGGCUUAUCAGCUUGUUGGUGGGGUAGUGGCUUACCAAGGCUUUGACGGGUAGCCGGCAUGAGAGGGUGACCGGCCACAUUGGGACUGAGAUACGGCUAAGACUCCUACGGGAGGCAGCAGUGAGGAAUAUUGCACAAUGGGCGGAAGCCUGAUGCAGCAACGCCGCGUGCGGGAUGACGGCCUUCGGGUUGUAAACCGCUUUCGCCUGUGACGAAGCGUGAGUGACGGUAAUGGGUAAAGAAGCACCGGCUAACUACGUG